RNAcentral lists this ribosomal RNA (253 nucleotides) under uncultured bacterium. Its description in RNAcentral is "partial 16S ribosomal RNA". It matches the Rfam family "Bacterial small subunit ribosomal RNA", at positions 524 to 776 of the family's 1533-position model. The record is from RNAcentral.
UACGAAGGGUGCAAGCGUUACUCGGAAUUACUGGGCGUAAAGCGUGCGUAGGUGGUGAGUUAAGUCUGUCGUGAAAGCCCCGGGCUCAACCUGGGAAUGGCGAUGGAUACUGGCUCGCUAGAGUGCGGUAGAGGAGAGUGGAAUUCCCGGUGUAGCAGUGAAAUGCGCAGAUAUCAGGAGGAACACCGGUGGCGAAGGCGGUUCUCUGGGCCUUACCUGACGCUGAGGAGCGAAAGCGUGGGGAGCGAACAGG